This 408-nucleotide ribosomal RNA is filed under the name uncultured bacterium. RNAcentral's name for it is "bacterial SSU rRNA". It matches the Rfam family "Bacterial small subunit ribosomal RNA", at positions 29 to 479 of the family's 1533-position model. The record is from RNAcentral.
AACGAACGCUGGCGGCAUGCCUAACACAUGCAAGUCGAACGGAUGGUUUCGGCCAUCAGUGGCGCACGGGUGAGUAACGCGUGGGAAUCUGCCCGGCAGUGGGGGAUAACCUCUGGAAACGGAGGCUAAUACCGCAUACGCCCCUUGGGGGAAAGGCUUGCUGCUGUCGGAGGAGCCCGCGUCGGAUUAGGUAGUUGGUGGGGUAACGGCCUACCAAGCCUGUGAUCCGUAGCUGGUCUGAGAGGAUGAUCAGCCACACUGGGACUGAGACACGGCCCAGACUCCUACGGGAGGCAGCAGUGGGGAAUAUUGGACAAUGGGCGCAAGCCUGAUCCAGCAAUGCCGCGUGAGUGAUGAAGGCCUUCGGUUGUAAGACGUCUUCGUCCCACGACGACUGAUGACGGUAGU